GAUGAACGCUAGCGACAGGCCUAACACAUGCAAGUCGAGGGGCAGCACGGUGUAGCAAUACACGGGUGGCGACCGGCGCACGGGUGAGUAACGCGUAUGCAACCUGCCUACUACAAGGGGAUAACCCGUUGAAAGACGGACUAAUACCCUAUAACACAGGGAAUCCGCAUGGAUAUAUUUGUUAAAGAUUUAUCGGUAGUAGAUGGGCAUGCGUUCCAUUAGCUUGUUGGUGAGGUAACGGCUCACCAAGGCAACGAUGGAUAGGGGAACUGAGAGGUUGAUCCCCCACACUGGAACUGAGACACGGUCCAGACUCCUACGGGAGGCAGCAGUGAGGAAUAUUGGUCAAUGGACGAGAGUCUGAACCAGCCAAGUCGCGUGAAGGAAGACGGCCCUACGGGUUGUAAACUUCUUUUGUAAGGGAAUAAAUAGUCUUACGCGCUAAGACGUUGCAGGUACCUUACGGAUAAGGAUCGGCUAACUCCGUG
Molecule: ribosomal RNA, 488 nt
Filed under: uncultured bacterium
Lineage: Bacteria
Description: bacterial SSU rRNA
Rfam family: Bacterial small subunit ribosomal RNA
Source: RNAcentral